ACGCUUGAAGUCAGUCGCGUUGAUUGGGACUCAGCCUUGGAUUUUUCCUUGGUGUAUUUCCUAGUUAACGGGCCAACAUCGAUUUUGACCGUUGGAAAAGGUUCAGGGAAAUGUGGCACCUUCGGGUGUGUUAUAGUCCCUGUUCACAUACACCGGUUGGGAUCGAGGACCGCAGCACGCCUUUAUGGCCGGGGUUCGCCCACGUACGUGCUUAGGAUGUUGGCAUAAUGGCUUUAAACGACCCGUCUUGAAACACGGACCAAGGAGUC
Molecule: ribosomal RNA, 269 nt
Filed under: Rhizoctonia sp. T-849
Lineage: Eukaryota; Fungi; Basidiomycota; Agaricomycetes; Cantharellales; Ceratobasidiaceae
Description: partial large subunit ribosomal RNA
Source: RNAcentral